CACAAUAACCACAGACACACUUAUGUGAAAACCUCAUGAACACAAUGUUAGAUUAUUUGAUUUUAGAGUUAGCAGUGAAAAGAAAUGACACCCAAAAACAGGAAGUCAAAGCAGAACUAGAGAAAUUAUAAAGAAACUAAAGUGAUUGAUGGUUAUAAUACUACAAGUUAUAAAAGGAAAAAUUUUUCCAUACACAUAAUACACUGACUUCACAUAAAAAUAACCCUGGAUAUUUGUAGCUAUCCUCUUCAAUUCAGUCCAAAAAGAUCAAAUAUUCUAUGACAAUGCUUUUUCUUGAAUCAUUUGAAUCCCACUUCAGCUUAAUAUAUGUACAAACUGCACAUACCAAGAUAAAGAUCAACAAGUGAAGUUGAUAGGAAUGAAAUUGCUCCUGAUGGCAUCACCAGAACUUCACCUUCUAAUGACUAUUUCAGGUACAGGAUUGUCAUCUUUAAAUGUGGAAAGCAUAUUCUUGAAUCAUGUCUGCAUUAGCUACAAACCUUCAUCACCUUAUGAAUCUGUCUGAUAAUGUAUAAAAAUCCAGAAAGGAAGAAAUAGUUAUUAUUAUAGAACUAUUUCUCUUAAUAUUAGAAAUAGUUUAUUAUAGGCAUCUAAUACUAUUCAUUUUAUGUAAUGAUUCAAAAUGUGAUUUAAAAGAAAACGACUACAUAACAAUAACUUGAUCCUUCUAUUUUGAAAGCUUAUAUACCUCAUGCAUGCUGAUUCCUUUUAUUAUUCCUAUAUGAAUCUUGCAGCACAACAACUGACUCUGAUCAUAAAGAAUUGACAAAGACAGGAACACCAUUUUAUAACUCUUUUCUUUCCCCAAAUUAAGCUAUUAUUUUGUUUUUUCUCUGUGCAAACCAGCAAAAAUAAAAUUAUAGAGAGGGAUAGAGAAACAUACCAACAAAAACAGAAGCUUUUCACUAUGAAGUGCCACUCCAACUUUGUCCAUCAUGUCUUCCUUUUCUAUCUUGUUCAUUCUAGUGUAGAUACUAACAUGAAGCCAAACUCAGUAAACACAGCUUCUCGUAACUAAUUUCAAACUCACUACUUCAAAAGUCAUCUAAACGCAUGAAUUUAGUUGGAUGACCAUGUAAAUCAAACUCUUUGUUUAAUACAUCUAAAAAUAUUCUUAAAUGUUGGAUACACAAAAAAGAUAUUCACUGUCUUUCAAUUUUUUGUUUCAUGUUAAUUCUUAUCUUCUUUUGUAAAGGUGAUUUUACUGAAAAAUAUGACGGUUAAUAAGUACUACAGAUAGCAAUGAGCCAAUGACUUUGUCAGAGAAACAAAAGAUAUUUCUUGAACUACAACUGCAAGAUGAGAGCUUCCCUAAUAAAUUGUCACGACCCAAAAUGAACCAUGACCGGCGCUCAGGAAAACAGUUCCCUAGCAAGCCUAUCAGACUCAAAUACAAAUAAGAAAGUUACAAAUAUUUUAAAGAAAUUUACAGUUCCUAAAACGAAUAAUUUCAUAUUUUUAUUAAAAGGUAAAAUAAAUAGAUAUAGAUGGAUCCUGCUUGUGACAUAUGGAGCAUAUGACGUCUAAGAACUCAACAAAAAUGAAGUACCAAUUGCAGAUCAUUACUCUUGAAUAGAAGGCUCACACAUUCAAGUAUUUGUUCCUGAAAAAUAUUUUUAGAAAAACGGAAUGAGUUUUGCAACCCAGUGACUAGACAAUACAUCUAUAAUCCACAUGAGACCAUAUAAACAUUAUUAUAAAAAUAAUCUUAGUUAGAAAAUAAUAAUUUAUAUGAAUAUGUGAAUCAAUAAGGGAGUUCUCAUACAGAAAUCAAAUCAAAUAGUCCACACUUGGGCGGCUCUACCUCUAAGGGUAGCCCUUUCCUCUAGCGUGUCCGUACGGAAUAACAGAUCCAACGUGUGGCCUACACGUUAGGCUAGCAACGCCCCUGCUAGCUGAGGUCUGAGCCAGAUGCAUCUAGGUUAACGUCAUAACCGCCGUUAACUACGGUUUUCUAAUACGAGCCUCCCAAACCAAUUCAAA
RNAcentral lists this long non-coding RNA (2004 nucleotides) under Arachis ipaensis. RNAcentral's name for it is "long non-coding RNA (AIPA_LNC000252)". Lineage: Eukaryota; Viridiplantae; Streptophyta; Magnoliopsida; Fabales; Fabaceae. The record is from RNAcentral.